AAUAGAUACCCUGGUAGUCCACGCCGUAAACGAUGGAUGCUAGCUGUUAGGAGUAUCGACCCUCCUAGUAGCGUAGCUAACGCGUUAAGCAUCCCGCCUGUGGAGUACGGUCGCAAGACUAAAACAUAAAGGAAUUGACGGGGACCCGCACAAGCGGUGGAGCGUGUUGUUUAAUUCGAUGGUAAGCGAAGAACCUUACCCAGGUUUGACAUCCCACUAAGGACUCCGAAAGGAGACUGUGUCUUCGGACCGUGGUGACAGGUGUUGCAUGGCCGUCGUCAGCUCGUGUCGUGAGAUGUUUGGUUAAGUCCAUCAACGAGCGCAACCCUUAUAGUUAGUUGUAUUUCUCUAGCUAGACUGCCCUGGCAACAGGGAGGAAGGAGGGGAUGAUGUCAGGUCAGUAUUACCCUUACACCUGGGGCUACAAACACGCUACAAUGGCCGGUACAAAGGGCAGCCAACCCGCGAGGGGGAGCAAAUCCCAUCAAAGCCGGUCUCAGUUCGGAUUGCAGGCUGAAACUCGCCUGCAUGAAG
Molecule: ribosomal RNA, 534 nt
Filed under: uncultured bacterium
Lineage: Bacteria
Description: bacterial SSU rRNA
Rfam family: Bacterial small subunit ribosomal RNA
Source: RNAcentral